ACCACUACCCGUAAAGCCAACGCCAAGAAGCGACUCCUUAGGGUUUGGCAGAAUGAAGCUGUGUUGAAGGCAUGUGCUGAACCACCACCUUCAAAAACUUCUAUAGCUGAUGCUGCUGGAGUUGCAGAGAAAGAUGGCCUCAACACCCAAAUUUAACUUGUGAAAUGAGUGAGAAUAAAUCUCAAGGAUGUCUUAUGGUUGCAAGUAUGGGGAAGCCAGUUUUUGUGCCUGUGUCUAUCUAGGAUUAUGUGUUUUAGGCUCUGAUUUUAGUUUCUCUAUCACUCCAAUUUAAAAGGGUUUAUAGAUUUUGUAACAUUUCUCUUUAACACAGAUGGAAUUUUAG
RNAcentral lists this unclassified non-coding RNA (343 nucleotides) under Hevea brasiliensis (rubber tree). The record is from RNAcentral. Lineage: Eukaryota; Viridiplantae; Streptophyta; Magnoliopsida; Malpighiales; Euphorbiaceae.